Molecule: transfer RNA, 71 nt
Rfam family: tRNA
About the family: Transfer RNA (tRNA) molecules are approximately 80 nucleotides in length.
Source: Rfam
GACCACAUGAUCUAAUGGUAUGAUACUACUACUUCACAGUAUAUAUGCGGGUUCAAUUCCCGCUGUGGUUA